RNAcentral lists this long non-coding RNA (384 nucleotides) under Mytilus galloprovincialis (Mediterranean mussel). Lineage: Eukaryota; Metazoa; Mollusca; Bivalvia; Mytilida; Mytilidae. The record is from RNAcentral.
AGUUUAUACGCUUUAAAAAUUUACAACCGCGUAACAAAAUACUUUACGUUGUAAGAUUUAUCUCCCAAAACACUGUUUUUCUUGUGGCCAUUACUCCUUCGCAACCGUUAAAGAUUGCGACAAAUUUAUUUUAUCAAAUUGCUUGUUACUUCUUCAGGAUUAGGAUAUUCAUUUGGACCGAAGCUUUACGGAGACUCCAUAUGAGAGUUAUUCCCCCUUUUCCAUUUAAUUAAGUGAUAUCCAUUUCCAACUGGUAAACUAUAAGUGAUAGAGACCUAGGGUCUUCAGAUUUGAGGUCCUUGGUCCCAAAAAAUGAAAAUGAGGUCAAGGUCAAAGGUCAAGGUCAUAUUCUUAAUUUAGAUUUUGGCUUAUUUUCACUCAUUU